Molecule: long non-coding RNA, 382 nt
Filed under: Homo sapiens (human)
Lineage: Eukaryota; Metazoa; Chordata; Mammalia; Primates; Hominidae
Source: RNAcentral
AUUUCGUUUGGGAUCAAUAGGAAAGCAUAUGCAGCCAACCAAGAUGCAAAUGUUUUGAAAUGAUAUGACUAAAAUUUUAAGUAGGAAAGUCACCCAAACACUUCUGCUUUCACUUAAGUGUCUGGCCCGCAAUACUGUAGGAACAAGCAUGACCUUGUUACUGUGAGAUUUAAAAUAUCCACAGUAUUCACUUUUUCCAAAUGAUCCUAGUAAUUGCCUAGAAAUAUCUUUCUCUUACCUGUUAUUUACUUAGUAUGCAGUUGAUAAGAGGAAUUUGGUAUAAUUAUGGUGGGUGAUUAUUUUUUAUACUGUAUGUGCCAAAGCUUUACUACUGUGGAAAGACAGCUGUUUUAAUAAAAGAUUUACAUUCCACAAAAGAAAA